CUGCAGUGCUCAGCAGUUUAUUCCAUGAACUUUGCGUAUUUUCAAAAUUUUCCCGGAGUAUUUUAGUUCCAACGAAUCUCGCAGCUGGCUCAGUUACUAUUGAGACGCGCGUCUAAUCGGUCGAUAAAACGGAAAAACUUAAAACUCAACGCGAGCGCGUGCCUGGGAAAAAAACUAGUAAUAGACAACGGCAAGAGAAACAGGAUAUUUAAGGCAGAGCAAUUUUUAGCAUUUGUGUCUAAGAAGAAGUCUAUUUGCCAAAUACAUUAAUAACACAGAGGGCACAGCAAGAAGUGUCGCUUUAGAAGAUAAAGCAACAAGCGCUUUUGUGUAGCGGUAAAAAUAACGUAGACAACCACAACAACAAAUAAAUAAUAAAACAAUAAAAUAUUGAAAUAACUUAAGAAAACGUGUAAAAUCAGCGAAAACAGCACAAAAAUUGCGUCAAAUUAUAGAAACAACAAAUCUAAAAAAAAAACCAAAAAACCACAGCAAGCGUCUUUAUAUUCAUUUUGUUAUCCUACAUUAGCUAUUCUGCCAACGCAACGGAAGUAAUCAACGCUAACUAGGACAAUAUGACACGCGUGCGACGAAUUGUGUUGGCGCAAUUUAAUGCUGAGAACUUAUAAUGACAACGCUAAAAAGUAUGCAGCAGAUUAAGAAGAAUAAAGCGUAAGGCGCCUAAAAGUAUACAGAGUGCAUAUAAAUAAUAUAGUAAUGCUACAUAACUGGGCGCAGCGAAAAUUUUGACUCUAACCGAGAGUAAAGAGGAUCAAAGAGGGCUCCGAGUGCUAUAAAUAUUUAUAAAACUGCUGAAAAGGUUAAUUACGAAGAAUUACAAUUGUAAUUACAACAGCAGUGUGAUUAAGAGAUAUUUAGAAAAAUAAGAAAAAAUAAAUAACUGCAACAAAGUUUAAAAGGAAAAGGUGAGAAAGCAGCUGUAAAGCGCAGAGAUAGAACAUUAUUUAUAAUAACAAGAGUAAAAACACCAACAAAAUAUUGUAACUGAAACUUAAAACUAUAAGCCAGUCAAGGAUAUUGAGCAACAAGCACAGAGGAUUUUAGGAAGCCAACUUAUAUAGCUCACACAGGACUUAAAGAGGAAUUGUUAACAAAAACAAUACUCCAAAAUAAUAAAACAGCAUUAAAUACAACUACCGUUAUGUCUAUACAAUGAC
Bactrocera oleae (olive fruit fly) is the source of this 1178-nucleotide non-coding RNA. Lineage: Eukaryota; Metazoa; Arthropoda; Insecta; Diptera; Tephritidae. The record is from RefSeq and is a predicted model, not a curated record.